CGACCGGCGCACGGGUGCGUAACACGUAUGCAACCUACCCUUUACAGGGGGAUAGCCCAGAGAAAUCUGGAUUAAUACCCCAUAACAUUAUUGUACCGCAUGGUAUUGAUAAUUAAAACUCCGGUGGUAAAGGAUGGGCAUGCGGACCAUUAGUUUGUUGGUGAGGUAACGGCUCACCAAGACUACGAUGGUUAGGGGUUCUGAGAGGAUGAUCCCCCACACUGGUACUGAGACACGGACCAG
Molecule: ribosomal RNA, 243 nt
Filed under: uncultured bacterium
Lineage: Bacteria
Description: partial 16S ribosomal RNA
Rfam family: Bacterial small subunit ribosomal RNA
Source: RNAcentral